RNAcentral lists this long non-coding RNA (1891 nucleotides) under Equus asinus (donkey). RNAcentral describes it as "lncRNA (ENSEASG00005036018.1)". The record is from RNAcentral. Lineage: Eukaryota; Metazoa; Chordata; Mammalia; Perissodactyla; Equidae.
GUCAGAGCCUCACCCCCACCCCCCACCCCACGCGCUCUGCGUGUGACUUCCUGUGACCUCCCCAUCCCCCGCCCCAGAGACUGGGAUGGGGGCAGGGCACAGAGGCAGAUUCGGAAAGGCAGGAGUGUGAAUGUUACCCUCAGGGCACAUCUCAUUUUGGACCAGCCACAUUUUAAGCUCUCAAGAUCCACACGCGGACAAGUGGCUGCCACAUCCGACCGUGCAGAAAUGGAUGAUGGCGCCAUCGGAGAUCUGGAGGGUGGCUUCCUCAAAGUCCAGAUUUAACAGGUGACAGUGUGCCUCCAGGAGACAGCGUGGCUACGGUCAAGACCCUGGAGUCUGCAGCCAGACUGCGGGGUUCAGAUACUAGUUCUGGAACUUGCAAGUUGCAGCUCCAACUUGAAAGGGGGAACCACCCACAAGGCCUCAGAGGGAUGUUGUGAAGAUUAAACGAAGGAAUAAGCACGGAACACUGAGAACAGGGCCUGGCACCUAUUAAAGGCAGUAUGAGGGCUGACUUUUAUUACUGAUUGGAGAUUCAGGAAAGAGAAAAUCUCUCGGGUCCACAUGAAAAGUUGAAGAAUGAACACUCCUUGCAAAACGUCCCAUCCUCAAAGUGGAGGAUGCCCAGGCCGUGGGGGCGCACACAACUUGUCACACACGUGUGGGAUGCACGGGCCACUCCGGGUCCCCCAGGGCGAGCGUGCCCGCCGUCCCUGCUGGAACGGGCCUGCGCCAUCCCAAAGCUUUGGCCGCCUCCCGGUGUCAACACUGCUGCCUGUUCUCCGGUCCUCACUUUUCUGUUCUGAUCUGUGCAGUGACUUGAAUGGCGUGCGCCGCCCCCCCCCCCCCCCCCCCCCCCGCCCCGUCCCAGAUGGGUCCACCUGAGACCUGUGCACGGGAGCUUCUUUGAAAAAAGGGUCUUUGCGGAUUCUAUUCAGGUGAGGAUCUCAGAUGAGCUCCUCCUGGAUUAUCGGGACAGGCCCUGAACCUGACAGCAAGCAUCCUUAGAUGAGAAAGGCAGAGGGUGACAAGACACAGAUCAGAAGAGACGCCACGUGAAGAUGGAGGCAGAGACAGCGUGAGGCAGCCACAAGCUAAGGGCGCCUGAGGCCGCCAGAGGCUGGAGGAGAAGAGCAGGAUCCUCCCCAGAACCUUUGGAGGGAGGGUGGCUCCGCUGACACUUUGAUUUAGGACUUCCAGCCUCCAGAGAAUAAAUUUCUUUUGUUUUAAGCUACCAAGUUGGUAGUAAUUUGUUACAGCAGCACAGGAAAUGAAUACAAUCUGUUUGGGGGCCUGCCUCCUCCACCCUGAAGGCAGAGUUUCUAUGGCUUUCAGAUACCAUCUCCUCCAGCCCUCCCUCACAGGAGGAAACUGAGGCUGGGAAAGAGGGCAGGGCCGGAACUAGACCUCAGGCCCCCAGCUCAAGGGGUCUCUGUGGAAACUUGCAGAGUAUUUUGCCUCUUGUAAACAUACAGAAUUUUCUUUUUUUUUUUUUUGAGGAAGAUUAGCCCUGAGCUAACUACUGCCAAUCCUCCUCUUUUUGCUGAGGAAGACUGGCCCUGAGCUAAGAUCUGUGCCCAUCUUCCUCUACUUUAUACGUGGGACGCCUACCACAGCAUGGCGUGCCAAGCAGUGCCAUGUCUGCACCCAGGAUCCGAACCAGUGAACCCUGGGCCGCCAGGAAGAGGAAUGUGCAAACUUAACCGCUGCGCCACCGGGCCGGCCCCAGUGGUGGAGAACAUAAGCUUCAGUUGGAGUCCUGGUUUGGUUGCUUCUUUGCUGUGUGGCCUUAGGCAAGAGACGAACCUCUCUGUACUUUAGUUUUUCCCUCUCUAAAAUGAAAAGAACAGGAUAAGUCAUCUCAGAAGGUUGCCAUGUGGAGUUUUUU